GACGAACGCUGGCGGCGUGCUUAACACAUGCAAGUCGAACGGAAAGGCCCUGCUUUUGUGGGGUGCUCGAGUGGCGAACGGGUGAGUAACACGUGAGUAACCUGCCCUUGACUUUGGGAUAACUUCAGGAAACUGGGGCUAAUACCGGAUAGGAGCUCCUGCUGCAUGGUGGGGGUUGGAAAGUUUCGGCGGUUGGGGAUGGACUCGCGGCUUAUCAGCUUGUUGGUGGGGUAGUGGCUUACCAAGGCUUUGACGGGUAGCCGGCCUGAGAGGGUGACCGGCCACAUUGGGAAUGAGAUACGGCCCAGACUCCUACGGGAGGCAGCAGUGGGGAAUAUUGCACAAUGGGCGGAAGCCUGAUGCAGCAACGCCGCGUGCGGGAUGACGGCCUUCGGGUUGUAAACCGCUUUCGCCUGUGACGAAGCGUGAGGGAGGGUAAUGGGGAAAGAAGCACCGGCUAACUAAGU
Molecule: ribosomal RNA, 467 nt
Filed under: uncultured bacterium
Lineage: Bacteria
Description: partial 16S ribosomal RNA
Rfam family: Bacterial small subunit ribosomal RNA
Source: RNAcentral